This 250-nucleotide ribosomal RNA is filed under the name uncultured bacterium. Its description in RNAcentral is "partial 16S ribosomal RNA". It matches the Rfam family "Bacterial small subunit ribosomal RNA", at positions 959 to 1207 of the family's 1533-position model. The record is from RNAcentral.
ACGCGCCGAACCUUACCAACCCUUGACAUCCCCUGACCGCCGGUGAGAGCCGGUUUCCCCGCAAGGGGCAGGGAGACAGGUGCUGCAUGGCUGUCGUCAGCUCGUGUCGUGAGAUGUUCGGUUAAGUCCGGCAACGAGCGCAACCCACACCCCCCUGUUGCCAGCAGGUCAAGCUGGGCACUCCGGGGGAACUGCCCGUGAUAAGCGGGAGGAAGGUGUGGAUGACGUCAAGUCCUCAUGGCCCUUACGG